This is a long non-coding RNA of Macaca fascicularis (crab-eating macaque), 1998 nucleotides long. The record is from Ensembl. NCBI's taxonomy places the organism in Eukaryota, Metazoa, Chordata, Mammalia, Primates, Cercopithecidae.
UGGAAAAGACAUUUAAUUCAAAAAUCACACGUCCACUCAUUUCAUAGGGAUUGUCACAUAAACCAACCAAAUGUAAGAAAGCCAAGUUUCAGAGGCUCUGAACAGAAAUUGUAUUUUCUUUAUAGAUGUAUUUUGUGACACAAAAGCACAUUUUUUAAAAGCCUGAACAUGGCAACAGGGCUACUAACAGGGACAAAGGUCUAUUCUAGUCACAGAUUACUUUCUAAUUACAGCAUUGGAUUCUAUGCACCAGUCAAUAGUCAAUACUGAAGUUUAGAACAGUGCGUUAUUUUAAAAGAAAAGAUUAAAGUGCCAUUUAAUAAGUACUUUAUUGAUAUUAUAUCACACAGCACUUUACAGUAUACUCAAAGGUAGUCUAAAUUAUGAUUAAACAUGCAAAUAUUUUCUUUUCCAAAAUGUGGACAAAAUGUCUUUUAGAGUGCUUCUGAACACUAGCCUUAGCUACUAAGCAUUCAUGGGUUUGACCUUUUUUGCAACAUGACUUUAAAUAAGUUAACAAAGAAUGUAGCUGCAGAUAAUCAUUUGAUAAGUAUGAACAGUUUUUAAAUGGCACUGAAUUUACAUCUUUGAUCAUUUUAAUGGGCCAUCAACAGCCUCUCUUCUGUCUCUAAUUCUCAACCUCCAAGUCUUAAAGGCUGUAAAGGCUCAGCAAGUGGCAGCUCAUGUGGGUCUCUAUGAGUGUCUGUGUCUUCAUAGAUGUAAAUAUGUGCUGUAUAUACACACACACAAAUAUACUUUAAAAUCAACAGAUGUGCAUUGUCAGAUACAAGGCUGAUUCUGGCAUAACCAAGAAACUGGAUCUGGAUAACCAAGAAAGCUGCUUUUAGGUGUCUGGAUAACUUUGUAGAAAUGGUUGAUGUACAACAGUGUAGGAUGUCUUAGCCUCUCCAGGACUGCUCCAGGUAACUAACAUUUUGUUUAUCAGUACUCUGGUUCUGACUAUACUAAAGCAAAUUUUGACAUGUACAUGUCACAUCAUGUCAUACCCACACAAGGGUCUGGGCCUGUGCUAAGCCUUUGUUCUCUAAAGCAUUCCACCUUGAGAGACGUUUUGUAAUCUCCGGCACAACUUUUGUAAAAAUAUUAGCUGUGAAAUUUUUCUGUGAUUGGUUUUUUUUUUUUUCUCCUCAGUAAGCACAAUAUUUAUCCUUCUAAAAAAGUAUCCAAAGCUCCUUAGGAUAGUUCACCUUCCUCUUUCUCUCUGGUCCUGGUGUUACUUUGCAUCCAGCACUUUUUCCUCCCAAGAAUACAGGUGCUUCCACUGGAAGACCACAUUUCAGCAAGGACUGACUCUGAAUAACACCUGGAUUCUCUCUAUGGCCUUUCCCUCCACUUUGGGAAGCUCUUUAGUUAGACAGGUACUGUAGGCGGCAGGAGAAAAAAGUUAAUUAUUACUUGUUGGAGUCUUGUCUCAGGCAUGCUGUGGGGCUGGGCAAGAUUUGCCGCUCUGCUGCUGUUGUCAUUUUGAUGCUACAAUUACAGAGCGGUGGUUCAGCACCCAGCCGAUCAGUGUGGCUGCCAAACACAUUUGAGCAUGACAAGAUAAAUUUUUUAGACACCAGCACAGGGUGGGUGAGAGGACAUCCUGCUGACUUUAUAAAGGGAUGUGGGGCAGGGUUGUCGAGGUAAGUGAUGAUUGUCAAGUUUGCCAGAGAUGACAGAUAACUCCCUUGGCAGAACACCUAGGUCAUUCCUCUUAAAGUCAGGUAGCUAACAGGCUGUUUGCUUUCUGCAGUGCUGGCUACCUACUUGGGGAAUAUGGUUGCUCACAAAACAUUCAGUACUUGGGCAAAUUCUGGGAGCGCCAUGUCCACAAAACUCAGUCGUCCAGACUUGCUUUUGGGAGCAGAAGCCAGAGGACGACAGGUGCCAAUGGACAGGCAGGGAUCAGGUUAUCUUUGGCUUCUUCUUUCUGUCUUCCUCCCCUUCACCUGUGAAUGCUUUUGGAGCCUCUGUAGUCAAGACAGAGCUUUUAGU